This 500-nucleotide ribosomal RNA is filed under the name uncultured Acidobacteriota bacterium. RNAcentral describes it as "bacterial SSU rRNA". It matches the Rfam family "Bacterial small subunit ribosomal RNA", at positions 13 to 529 of the family's 1533-position model. The record is from RNAcentral. Lineage: Bacteria; Pseudomonadati; Acidobacteriota.
UUGAUCCUGGCUCAGAAUCAACGCUGGCGGCGUGCCUAACACAUGCAAGUCGAACGAGAAAGUGGAGCAAUCCAUGAGUAAAGUGGCGACCGGGUGAGUUACACGUGACCAAUCUACCCUUGAGUGGGGGAUAACCUCGGGAAACCGGGUCUAAUACCGCAUAAAAUCUUCGGGACGGAAGUGCUGAAGAUCAAAGGAGUAAUUCGCUUAAGGAGGAGGUCGCGGCUGAUUAGCUAGUUGGCGGGGUAAUGGCCCACCAAGGCAAAGAUCGGUAGCCGGCCUGAGAGGGCGCACGGCCAUACUGGAACUGAAACACGGUCCAGACUCCUACGGGAGGCAGCAGUGGGGAUUUUUGCGCAAUGGGGGAAACCCUGACGCAGCAACGCCGCGUGGAGGAUGUAGUCCCUUAGGACGUAAACUCCUUUCGACCCGGACGAUAAUGACGGUACUGGUGGAAGAAGCCCCGGCUAACUUCGUGCCAGCAGCCGCGGUAAUAAGGU